This is a long non-coding RNA of Cryptomeria japonica (Japanese cedar), 822 nucleotides long. RefSeq lists it as uncharacterized. The record is from RefSeq and is a predicted model, not a curated record. Lineage: Eukaryota; Viridiplantae; Streptophyta; Pinopsida; Cupressales; Cupressaceae. The transcript is spliced from 6 exons.
UUCUUCAUCUUCUGGAGCUUAUCCUUCAAUUUCAAUUUUCCCUUGAGUUUAUUCUCCUUUUCUUCACCCCCAAACCCUGAAACCUGCAAAACUUUCCUCUGCGCCUUCCAUAAAGAAGAUUGUGAAUGAUUUCCUCUGGUGAGCUUGGAUAGGUCUUAAGCUGUGUGCAUUUUCCCUGUUCAACGAUGAAGGAUCAAAGGUUUUUACAGGAUUUUUUUUCUCUUCUCUGAAUUCAAACCCUGGAAAUAAAUACCUUUUAUAGCUUCAUUCAACGAGUCCGCAUCAAAUCCGGACAUACAUGUUUGAAUUCAAAAUUUCUUUUCACAUUCUGGCUGGUAAAAGAUGAAGAGGCAAAAAGGAGGAUCAGAAAAUAGCAACCAAAUGAGAUCAAAUUCCCUCUUCCAGGAUUUUUUUCUCUCACAGGCCGAUUCAGCGGAGUAGUGGGCGUUGAAAGUAAAUCCUCAGGUUUCUCUUCUCUCAAUUCUUCAGCCAUAUGGAGAUUCGAACAUGUGACUUAAGGUUCAAACCCUAGAAUUAAAAUUUUUUUUCACAUUCUGGCUGGUAAAAGAUGAAGAGGCAGAACGGAGAAUCAGAAAAUAGCAACCAAAUGAGAUCAAAUUCCCUCUUUCAGUUUUUCACCUUCUGCUGGUAAAAGAUGAAGAGGCAAACAGAGGAUCAGAAAUCCCAGCCAUUCAUGGCAUUGACAUUGGGUUCAUGGGUGGGCCCAUUUCUCAUGCUGGUAUUAGCACUUCUCACAGGCCAUUGACAACAGAGGAUUAAUGAGUUGCAUCAUCAACUUAGGUUUUUCCUUUUGCCCUUUUC